GGUCAUACUAUCAGCUAGUUGCACAUGUUUCUAAGUGCGUGUGUGUGUAUUUUUUCACCAACACCCAAAACUGUCAAAAGUCCUGCAUUACACAGCGUAGCAUAAUCAUAUUUGAGGUAUACAGUUGUAUAAAAGAAAAUCAUUGCUCUUCAACAAUGUCUGCUUCCCUCUUUGUGGUCAUACUGGGGUUGUACUACUGUAGCAAGGAGAGCUAUCAGUCAACUCUGGGGCGCCCAGAACUUAUUGGCCCUACAGAGGCUUUGGUGAAAAGGGUUGUAGAUUUUUAUUGUGAACUGAAAAUCUCCCCAGAGAAUGUAGCUAUCCUGCUGCAGUUAUUUAAGGUGGAUAAAAGUCCCAAGUUGUUGGGCGAAUACACCUCCCUGGAUAGGGAGGUUGCAGUCUUCCCCAUGGUAAUCAAACCUUCCCAUGAAGGCAACCUAACGUGUGUGGCCAAGGCACAGAACAACUCUAACAUAGAGCCCACUGUCAGCGACACACAGUACCUGAAGGUUGUUGAACCGGUGAAGGGUGCAAAGAUUGUCGUCCCUUCAGGCCAAGUGGAGUUUUUUGAGGGGAAGACACUGGAGCUACGCUGUAAACCUACUGUUGGAAAUCAUGUCUCCUACUCGUGGAUGCUGAAUGGUCAGCUUGUCUCUCAAUCUCGUCUCCUCUAUGUUGCAGAUGACUAUCUCUUGAUCAAGAGAACUACUUCUCAAGAUAGCGGCUCCUACAUGUGUGUCGCCACCAACGAAUUCAACAAAACAGACGUCUUUACCGCCAACAGCUCUGAAGUUGUAAUCACAGUGAAAGACCUGGUGUCUAUCCCUGACAUCUCCUUUACCGUGUUAAAGGAAGAUUCCCACAACUAUUCAGCCAUGGUCGCCUGUCAGACAACCAAAGGGACUCCACCUGUCACCUUUUCACUGUACAACAGGAGAGGAUCGGUUGACAAUGUGACGGUUGAUAAGAGAGAUGUCACAUUUAAGGUUCCAAUGGUCUUGGGCCGGCACUUGGGAUGGCUCCAGUGCCAGGCAAACAAUGGAGAUGGGAUCGAGUACAGUCAAUGGAUUUCCUUAGAAGUUGUUCCUGUUGGUGGGCCUGUGACGAUGCGUUACGACUAUGACAUUGGAGAAAACUAUGCCGUGAUCAGCCUGAGGUUCUACUGCAAGGCAGCGAAGGGAUCUCUCCCACGGUACCAAUGGUUCCUCAACAAAACCCUCCUGCAUGACCGAGGAAGCUUCUACUACGUGGUCAACCAGCCUCCAGAAGAGUCUGUACUCAUCCUGUCUGUAGGGAGGAGCAGCACUGGAUCGUACCACUGUGAAGUGUCGGACAGCUUUGACAACACCACCGCCAUAAGCAGCAAGAUGCUGUAUUUGGAUAAAGAAGGUCAAAGGCAGCUUGGAGAGAAGUCUCUGUUGAGCUUGGAGAUGGAGGGAAUGGUGGCUUCAAAUGAGGAUGAGCUGGAUUUCUCAGAGUACGAUGAGGAUGCUGAUGUAGUGAAGAUGGCCAGAGGUGGUGAAUUUGAUCAGGCAUCUGAAGUCUCUGUAGAUGAAUGGCCCCAAAUUGAAGAAGUGAAGAAAAUGUUGGAGGAUGAACCAGUUGAGGGACCCUGAGGGUUCAAACUGUUAUAAACACAGGCUGUGGUUGUUUAAUAAACAUUGGCUCAAGAUGUUCUGUGCUGUCACGUUUUUUCAGAAUAAUGAAUUAUUAUUCUUUCUAAAGUAUGUGUGCUGGUAGUAGUAAUAGCAGUCACUAUGGAAGCCCAUAGUAAAAGGAAAAAAAAAUCAAACAAGAUGAAAACUUAGCCUUGUGAUAAAAAAAAGUAAUUAUAAUACCAAACAUUCUCAGAAUAUUUGAGUUAGUAUCUCAAAAUACUGAGUUAGUAUGUCAGAAUAAUGAGUUAGUAUCUCAUAAAUAAUGAGUUAGUAUCUCAAAAUAAUGAAUUAGUAUCUCAGAAUAGUGACUUAGUAUCUCAGAAUAAUGACUUAGUAUCUCAGAAUAAUGACUUAGUAUCUCAGAAUAAUGAGUUAGUAUCUCAGAAUAAUGAG
Molecule: long non-coding RNA, 2051 nt
Filed under: Cottoperca gobio
Lineage: Eukaryota; Metazoa; Chordata; Actinopteri; Perciformes; Bovichtidae
Description: lncRNA (ENSCGOG00000002440.1)
Source: RNAcentral